AUGAAAUCCGUUUUAUUUUUUCCAAAUUCCGUUUUAUUUUAUUUUCCAAAUUCCGUUUUUAAAAUCAACUUAAAAUCAUCAGAACGAGUUUCAAAUAAGUGCGAACGAAUACAAUUUAAUCAGAUAGAAGACUACAUUUAUUAAAACAUCACAACAUUGCACUGUUUUUAGUGCUUCAAAUAAAAACAUGACAUAAAUAUUAAAGUGCUUAUAAACUCUUUUUUUAUAAACUCAAAUUGUUGUUUGAAGGGGCGUGCCCUGGCUACGGCGUUCAUUGUUUCAUAUGGAUUUUGGACUUCAAGUGGUCAUCGCACGUAUCUUUGCGUUUCCAAUCGAUAGUAUGUUGACAUAUUCUACAAAACACCUGAGUGAUGGAAGUGCGCUUCAACUUCUUCUUCGGCUUCUUGUUAGGAGCGGGACCUAUUGUUUGCGUGGUGGACCGGGGAUUUUUUUUUAACAUUGUUGUGCGAGUGACUGCUAAACAUUCAGUGACGUUAAUGUCACCUGUGUUUCCCUUUUCCCUCGAAACUGAAUUCCGCUGCAUUCCGCUGCAUAUUGUAAAUGUGACGUCUGAUGUGCCUUGUCCCUGUUGCAUGUUAUAUGUGCUGAAGAACAGGAACCUGCUGGAAAUCAGUUAUUUUACUAAGACAGGCCCGUUUUAAAUUCUAACUUUGUUACUUUUAAUACUUUCCUGCUUAAUAAAAAAAAAAAAAUAAU
Long non-coding RNA from Gadus macrocephalus (Pacific cod), 717 nucleotides. RefSeq lists it as uncharacterized. The transcript has 2 exons. The record is from RefSeq and is a predicted model, not a curated record. Lineage: Eukaryota; Metazoa; Chordata; Actinopteri; Gadiformes; Gadidae.